CUUUGUUUUCCUAUCUCUAUAAACUCUGGUCGGGACCUCACCGCAUGACGAACAAGCUACAUGGGUAUGAAACCCGGCCAGAAUAUCAUCAUCACUUGCCUCGAGGGCCGGACAAGAUGGUUUCUGAGGUGGCAGUUCAAACUGAGAUUGGAACAUGAUCAGAUAACUGGAUACAUGCCGAUCAUGGAGUACUGCUGACUCGGUUAUAUAUCUCAAGAUAAUAUCAGAAAAGAAAGAUGCUGUAUACGAUGGCCAUGUUAUUACUUGUAUGAUCAUCGGAUGGAGCAAUUUGAUGAUCAUCGAAUUCGGUUCUGUCUAAAACUUCGAGGUCGAUAUGACAAUGCAUCUGAGGAAUUCGCAAGGACUGCUCAUUUGACAAGGCUUCGCAUGGAAUUUGACACCCUAUAUAUGCUUGGAAUUUACCGGAUCUGUCAGCCAAACAUGUUUCCAGAUCAUAUGAUUUCUCAAAAGCUAGCCAAACAUUCCCCACAAAGUUUAUGUCCGCGACAAUUCUUGAAGGUAGUCCUUUGAGACGCCGAAGUCUCACCUUUUUGGGUGUUCCCUGCAUGCAUGGCAUA
Juglans regia (Persian walnut) is the source of this 578-nucleotide RNA transcript. RefSeq lists it as uncharacterized. Lineage: Eukaryota; Viridiplantae; Streptophyta; Magnoliopsida; Fagales; Juglandaceae. The record is from RefSeq and is a predicted model, not a curated record. The transcript has 5 exons.